UACGGAGGGAGCUAGCGUUGUUCGGAAUUACUGGGCGUAAAGCGCACGUAGGCGGCUUUGUAAGUUAGAGGUGAAAGCCCGGAGCUCAACUCCGGAACUGCCUUUAAGACUGCAUCGCUUGAAUCCAGGAGAGGUGAGUGGAAUUCCGAGUGUAGAGGUGAAAUUCGUAGAUAUCUGGAGGAACACCGGUGGCGAAGGCGCCCACCUGGCCUGCUACUGACGCUGAAGCUCGAAAGCUAGGGGAGCAAACGGG
This 253-nucleotide ribosomal RNA is filed under the name uncultured bacterium. RNAcentral's name for it is "partial 16S ribosomal RNA". It matches the Rfam family "Bacterial small subunit ribosomal RNA", at positions 524 to 776 of the family's 1533-position model. The record is from RNAcentral.